This 71-nucleotide non-coding RNA is filed under the name Massilia aurea. RNAcentral's name for it is "toxic small RNA". It matches the Rfam family "Betaproteobacteria toxic small RNA". Rfam says of the family: Overexpression in amino aid rich medium attenuates growth, suggesting role in repressing amino acid intake and metabolism. Lineage: Bacteria; Pseudomonadati; Pseudomonadota; Betaproteobacteria; Burkholderiales; Oxalobacteraceae. The record is from RNAcentral.
UGUCUCCUCCAGUUUUCUCCGAAAAUUGGAUUUGCCGCCCGCCAACCAACAGGUUCUGCGGGCGUUUUUUU